RNAcentral lists this long non-coding RNA (1239 nucleotides) under Betta splendens (Siamese fighting fish). RNAcentral describes it as "lncRNA (ENSBSLG00000003414.1)". The record is from RNAcentral. Lineage: Eukaryota; Metazoa; Chordata; Actinopteri; Anabantiformes; Osphronemidae.
GUCACGGGGACCAUUUCUCUGGGUAGCGUACAUUUGAACGCAACCUGAUGAAGGAAUGAGAUGGAAUCAGAACUGUUGGACUUCACCAUCUACAGCUCCAAGAUCUCUGAAGAAGGCACGAGCGCGCCUCGUCUUCCUACCCCGGACAAUGCAGCCCGGGAAGACGCCGGAGGGACGGAGCGGUGGAAACCCAUUUGCAUGAACGUCGGCCCCGGAAAACAGAGACAAGGAGGCAAGACAAAAGCGGAGCAGGACACGGCCUCUGUGGAGGAAUGGCCAAGUCUCGCUGCGCAGCCAGGCAGCGUUACAAAAGACAAUCCUGGAAGACAGCCAGCAGCCGCUGAAGCGUCCUGCUGCCAUUAAAGCUCCCAUUUAGGCAGGAACAGGAAGUGCCCCUGCCAACUUGCUCCAUUUCCUCCUUUCUUCCUUAAUGCAUUCAGAUGGGAAACCUUUGUUGCAAGGAAUCAUUUUGCAUUUAGAUUUCCCAAAGUAAAACGAGGCGCGUGGGGAACUUCCUCAUUUGGAGAGGAAGCUGCUGCUAAUGAGCCCUUCCAAGCUCAGCUGAUUCUUUUCUGCAACCAUAGCAGGAACGCCAGGACAUGUUUUCUCUUCUCUAUUAGCUCCCACAUUCAAAAUGGCAGCCCCUGGGUAUGUUUGAUUGCUCUUCCCCCCGAACCUUUGAACUUCGCUGCAAUGAUACGACCCAAACUGCAGAUGGGUUCGUUGUGGAAUUUAAAAGGUAUCUGUCCAUCGCAGCAUUCGGUUAAAUCGCCCCCUUUGUGCCGAAAUGCCGCCUUUGAGCACAGGCGGCAUCAGAGGGGCUUCGGUAUCUUUAAUUCCCCUUUGUGAGACGUGCAGAUUAUGCAGCCAUGUUUACACAGAGCGUUCAGUCUGUGCGUGUUCAUCCGAGGGUCAGUCCAUUUUAGUUCGCGAGCUGCAAUCGUCAUCUCCAUCUCGUUCGUGGAGUGUGAGGACGCGCGGAGGAGAGGCUGAUCCCUCCCCAGUGUCCCACCUACAGCACAAGCACUCACAACCACACCUUGUCCUGGAUGUGUCGCCUCUGUAAUAACUUCCAAAAAUGUCUUUCACACAUGGCAAAUGAAAAAUCUAAAUAAGCCGCCUGGAUUUCCCCACAGCAGGAAAAUGCCACACGAGUUCAGUCCAGAUGGAAAUGUCAAGUUAUUGUGGCGGCUGUGAAGAAGCUGGUGGGAGCAGCCUCGAUGCUUUUUUAAAUAAGCG